GUCACUCUUCCUUCUCAACGCAGCCAUAGUUCAGCUAUUGCACAUUUGACUGGCUUUGAGGGAAUAUGUUGAAGUUGUUACUUUAACAGUCAAGGAAGGUGCCUUUUCUUCAACAGCAACAAAUCUCACCUUCUCUCAUAAACUCGACUUGCAGCCAAAUUCAUCAAAUUCUGCCAUGUCAUCUUCAGAUCCCGAAACCCCAGAAGGAUUAGAUCAAA
RNAcentral lists this unclassified non-coding RNA (218 nucleotides) under Hevea brasiliensis (rubber tree). The record is from RNAcentral. Lineage: Eukaryota; Viridiplantae; Streptophyta; Magnoliopsida; Malpighiales; Euphorbiaceae.